AUACGUAGGGUGCAAGCGUUGUCCGGAAUUACUGGGUGUAAAGGGAGCGUAGGCGGGACUGCAAGUUGAAUGUGAAAUGUAUGGGCUUAACCCAUAAGCUGCGUUCAAAACUGUAGUUCUUGAGUGAAGUAGAGGCAGGCGGAAUUCCUAGUGUAGCGGUGAAAUGCGUAGAUAUUAGGAGGAACACCAGUGGCGAAGGCGGCCUGCUGGGCUUUUACUGACGCUGAGGCUCGAAAGCAUGGGGAGCAAACAGGAUUAGAUACCCUGGUAGUCCAUGCCGUAAACGAUGAUUACUAGGUGUGGGGGGACUGACCCCUUCCGUGCCGCAGUUAACACAAUAAGUAAUCCACCUGGGGAGUACGACCGCAAGGUUGAA
Molecule: ribosomal RNA, 376 nt
Filed under: uncultured bacterium
Lineage: Bacteria
Description: bacterial SSU rRNA
Rfam family: Bacterial small subunit ribosomal RNA
Source: RNAcentral